AGGUGUUCCACUAUUAGAUGAUUGACUAAAGAAUGGAAGGAAACAGAAGACAGAAGCCUUUAUCUUAAUCUUUCUUUGCUUAAAGAAUCCAUCAGCAGGGACGAUGAUUUUCAAGAGGCUGGGACUUCAGAGGAUGCAAGUGCUUCAAAGGGACGUGAACGAAGACUACUGGUGCACGGUCCGAUAAAGUUAAGAACGGGUAAUAAGAAAACAAAGCAUCAGGCUUUUUUGUACAAGGACGUACUGAAAAUCUCGAACAUUCGGUAGGUGCAUAUGCUGCAUGCUGUCCUGAUCAUCGUGAAAUAUAUUGUCUCUAACAAAAUUCAUUUUCAUGCACUCUUUCUCAGCAAGUAGCAUGUUUUUACUUUGUUUUUGCCAGUGAUUUCAUUCUUCACUUAUUAAACAAGUAGUCAUGGAAGUUUUAUUCUGUAUUGUGCCCCUGUAGACAGUGGAAUCAAGAAUGGGAGAGACAGGGUUCCUCUCUCUCUCUCUCUCUCUCUCUUUGAACAUUUAUUUAUUUUAAAGGAAGAGUUAGAGAGAGGUAGAGGCAGUGAGAGAAAGAGAAGGGCGGGGGAGAAAGAGACACAGAGAGAGACAGAGACAGUCUUCCAUCCGCUGGUU
This 621-nucleotide long non-coding RNA is filed under the name Oryctolagus cuniculus (rabbit). Its description in RNAcentral is "lncRNA (ENSOCUG00000037656.1)". The record is from RNAcentral. Lineage: Eukaryota; Metazoa; Chordata; Mammalia; Lagomorpha; Leporidae.